GGGGGCAGCGGCGACAGCCCCAGAGAGUGCCCCCGGAGCUCUGCUCAGCCACGGGACUUCGUGUCGGUCAGCGACACGGCUUACACGGACGGGGGUUAGGGAAUGCACCCCUUUGCGUGGAGAACGUAUUUCACAGCCUGCUGAGUUUGGCUGUGAAGGAAUCCUGACGGGCGGGCUGUCAGCGAUGCGCCCUGGCACUGCCCGCCGUGCGGCUCUCCCACAGCGCGCUCACAGCUCUGCCCAGCUGCCUCAGCUCGCGUCCGAUGUCCAUUGCUCAGCACUUGGAAAGCCGAUUACUCUCUUGUCUCUCUCUCUUACCACAGAUCCAACAGUCACGUUACAGAGGGCCAAAGAUUCGCAUUUAUUAGAAAAGAAGAUGAAUGUAACCAAAACUUAUACUGAGAAGAGGCGAGGACAUCUGCUGUGGCAGGUACACCACUGACAAAUUGGAAGACCAUGAAAAAGUGCUUGAGAAGAAGAAUCCCUUUUGCUCAACGAGACUUGGGGAAUUAAGUCUUACUGGGACUCGGUGACAUAAAAAGACAUUAAAAGAUGAGCCAGGAUAAAGAAGAAUGGAAAUCCUUGUUUAUUCCAUAAGUAAGAUUUAAUGUCAUGGGAAAUACUUGGAGAUGGAAGAUUCUGUUGCCACCUGUUCCUGUUUUAUAAGGAAAUCAGGAACACAUGAUAACAAAAGAAAAAGUGCUUCAUCAUUUAUUAGAACUUUUGUAGAGACUUUCAUCCCAGUAGGGACCAGAGGGCUUUUUUCAGUGAAAUCCUAUUUGCUUCAAUCAUAGGCAAUUUAUCAGAGAUUACUUUGUAAUAUCUCUGAAUAGCUGUAACAUUCCAAAGAAUGGAAAUUAAAUCAUCUUUUCAGGACUCUACUUAUAAGCUCUUGUGUGCUUCUUUCUGUCAUGCUGUCAACUCAUCCUGGUUUCAGCUGAAUCUCAAAAUAAAUAGAUUCAGAAGAGAUUAUGCUUUUGUACGUGUGCUCUAUGUCCUUUCUUGAAAGAAUUUUAGGAAAUUGAGAUGGAAUGGCUUCUCUCUUGAGAACUGUCCACUGUGCAAAUAGGCCCUUGGGAAACAUCAAACGAGGGCAUGCUAGCCCGGAUUGGUCCCACCUUACACCUGAACACACAAAGUAAGUCCCUCCACAUUGCACGUGCUUUGCAGUGAUAUUAAAGUGACCCAUUCUUAAUAAUAACGUUUUAGAAAUUAACUUUGAA
RNAcentral lists this long non-coding RNA (1223 nucleotides) under Gallus gallus (chicken). Its description in RNAcentral is "lncRNA (ENSGALG00010011695.1)". Lineage: Eukaryota; Metazoa; Chordata; Aves; Galliformes; Phasianidae. The record is from RNAcentral.